RNAcentral lists this ribosomal RNA (253 nucleotides) under uncultured bacterium. RNAcentral's name for it is "partial 16S ribosomal RNA". It matches the Rfam family "Bacterial small subunit ribosomal RNA", at positions 524 to 776 of the family's 1533-position model. The record is from RNAcentral.
UACGUAGGGACCGAGCGUUGUCCGGAAUCAUUGGGCGUAAAGAGCGUGUAGGCGGCUUGCUAAGUCUUGCGUGAAAUCUCGGGGCUCAAACCCGAGCGGUCGUGGGAAACUGGCAGGCUAGAGUGCGGGAGAGGAGAAUGGAAUUCCUGGUGUAGCGGUGAAAUGCGCAGAUAUCAGGAAGAACACCCGUGGCGAAGGCGGUUCUCUGGAACGCAACUGACGCUGAGACGCGAAAGCGUGGGGAGCAAACAGG